Molecule: transfer RNA, 75 nt
Filed under: Dehalococcoidia bacterium
Lineage: Bacteria; Bacillati; Chloroflexota; Dehalococcoidia
Description: tRNA-Lys
Rfam family: tRNA
About the family: Transfer RNA (tRNA) molecules are approximately 80 nucleotides in length. Their secondary structure includes four short double-helical elements and three loops (D, anti-codon, and T loops). Further hydrogen bonds mediate the characteristic L-shaped molecular structure. tRNAs have two regions of fundamental functional importance: the anti-codon, which is responsible for specific mRNA codon recognition, and the 3' end, to which the tRNAs corresponding amino acid is attached (by aminoacyl-tRNA synthetases). tRNAs cope with the degeneracy of the genetic code in two manners: having more than one tRNA (with a specific anti-codon) for a particular amino acid; and 'wobble' base-pairing, i.e. permitting non-standard base-pairing at the 3rd anti-codon position.
Source: RNAcentral
GGGCCGUUAGCUCAGUGGGAGAGCACCUGACUUUUAAUCAGGGUGUCGCGGGUUCGAAUCCCGCACGGCUCACCA